This 254-nucleotide ribosomal RNA is filed under the name uncultured bacterium. RNAcentral describes it as "partial 16S ribosomal RNA". It matches the Rfam family "Bacterial small subunit ribosomal RNA", at positions 524 to 776 of the family's 1533-position model. The record is from RNAcentral.
GACAGAGGCCUCAAGCGUUAGGCGGAAUCACUGGGCUUAAAGCGUGUGUAGGCGGGUCGUUAAGUACCUUGUGAAAUCCCACGGCUCACCCGUGGAACGGCUGGGUAUACUGGCGAUCUUGGGCCAACUAGGGGCGACUGGAACAAGCGGUGGAGCGGUGAAAUGCGUAGAUAUCGCUUGGAACGCCGAAGGUGAAAACAGGUCGCUGGGGUUGUGCCGACGCGUGAGACACGAAAGCCAGGGGAGCAAACGGG